CUUGGUCAUUUAGAGGAAGUAAAAGUCGUAACAAGGUUUCCGUAGGUGAACCUGCGGAAGGAUCAUUAAAGAAUUGCCCCAUUUUUUGAAAUGGGUUCUAUUCCCAAACCGUGUAUACAUACCUUUGUUGCUUUGGCAAGCCGUCCUUCGGGCGCAGCUUCGGCUGAGAGCGCUUGCCAGAGGACCCCAACUCUUUUGUUUAGUGAUGUCUGAGUACUAUAUAAUAGUUAAAACUUUCAACAACGGAUCUCUUGGUUCUGGCAUCGAUGAAGAACGCAGCGAAAUGCGAUAAGUAAUGUGAAUUGCAGAAUUCAGUGAAUCAUCGAAUCUUUGAACGCACGUUGCGCCCUGUGGUAUUCCGCAGGGCAUGCCUGUUCGAGCGUCAUUUAACCACUCACGCCUAGCGUGGUAUUGGGGCACGCGGUCUCCGCGGCCCUCAAAAUUAGUGGCGGCGCCGGUGGGCUCUAAGCGUAGUACAUACUCCCGCUAUAGAGUUCCCCCCGGUGGCUCGCCAGAACCCCCAAUUUUUUACAGGUUGACCUCGGAUCAGGUAGGGAUACCCGCUGAACUUAAGCAUAUCAAUAAGCGGAGGA
This 593-nucleotide ribosomal RNA is filed under the name uncultured Phialocephala. Its description in RNAcentral is "eukaryotic LSU rRNA". The stretch from base 232 to 385 matches the Rfam family "5.8S ribosomal RNA". Lineage: Eukaryota; Fungi; Ascomycota; Leotiomycetes; Helotiales. The record is from RNAcentral.